UUAAGCCAUGACGAGUUCAAAUGUUCUUCGUGAACAUGGCGUUAUUGUUCAGUAACACGUGGAUAACAUGCCCUUAAGGACUGGCAUAACCCGGGAAACUGGGGAUAAUUCCGGAUAGUUCAUGGUAGCUGGAAUGCUCCAUGAUCGAAAGCUAUUGCGCCUAAGGAUGGGUCUGCGGUCUAUCAGGUAGUAGUGGGUGUAAUGUACCUACUAGCCGACGACGGAUACGGGUUGUGGGAGCAAGAGCCCGGAGAUGGAUUCUGAGACAUGAAUCCAGGCCCACGGGGCGCAGCAGGCGCGAAAACUUUACAAUGCGGGAAACCGCGAUAAGGGGACACCGAGUGCCAGCAUCUUAUGUUGGCUGUCCGCAUGUAUAAAUCACAUGUGUUAGCAAGGGCCGGGCAAGACCGGUGCCAGCCGCCGCGGUAACACCGGCGGCCCGAGUGGUGGCCAUUAUUAUUGGGUCUAAAGGGUCCGUAGCCGGUUUGAUCAGUCUUCCGGGAAAUCUGACAGCUCAACUGUUAGGCUUCUGGGGGAUACUGUCAGACUUGGAACCGGGAGAGGUAAGAGGUACUACAGGGGUAGGAGUGAAAUCUUGUAAUCCUUGUGGGACCACCAGUGGCGAAGGCGUCUUACCAGAACGGGUUCGACGGUGAGGGACGAAAGCUGGGGGCACGAACCGGAUUAGAUACCCGGGUAGUCCCAGCCGUAAACGAUGCUCGCUAGGUGUCUGGGAUGGUGCGACCGUUUCAGGUGCCGCAGGGAAGCCGUGAAGCGAGCCACCUGGGAAGUACGGCCGCAAGGCUGAAACUUAAAGGAAUUGGCGGGGGAGCACUACAACGGGUGGAGCCUGCGGUUUAAUUGGACUCAACGCCGGAAAACUCACCUGGGGCGACAGCAAUAUGUAGGUCAG
Molecule: ribosomal RNA, 913 nt
Filed under: uncultured archaeon
Lineage: Archaea
Description: bacterial SSU rRNA
Rfam family: Archaeal small subunit ribosomal RNA
Source: RNAcentral